GAUGAACGCUGGCGGCGUGCCUAAUACAUGCAAGUCGAGCGAACGGACGCGACGCUUGCUUCUCUGAUGUUAGCGGCGGAGGGGAGUGACACAUGUGUAACCCCCCCCUAUCUGACUGGGAACUCCUCGGGAAACCGGCGCUUAUCCCGGAGAAUCUUCUGAUCCGUGUGGUUCGAUAGUGAAAGUCGGUCUUGCUGUCUCUUCUCGAUGCUUACCGGCUGGAUGGGCUAGUUGGUACGGUAACGGCUUACCACGGCAACGAUGCAUAGACGACCUGAUGGGGGGAUCGGCCACACGGGAACGGAGACGCGGUCCAGGCGCCUACGGGAGGCAGCAGUAGGGAAUCGUCGGCAAUGGGCGGAAGCCUGACGGAGCAACGCCGCGUGAGUGAUGGAGGUCUUCGGAGCGUAAAGCUCUGUUAUGGGUGAAGAACAGAUGUGUAAGUAACUGUGCACAGCUUGACGGUACCGAAUCAGAAAGCCACGGCUAACUACGUG
RNAcentral lists this ribosomal RNA (497 nucleotides) under uncultured bacterium. Its description in RNAcentral is "partial 16S ribosomal RNA". It matches the Rfam family "Bacterial small subunit ribosomal RNA", at positions 28 to 507 of the family's 1533-position model. The record is from RNAcentral.